Molecule: long non-coding RNA, 2018 nt
Filed under: Helicoverpa zea (corn earworm)
Lineage: Eukaryota; Metazoa; Arthropoda; Insecta; Lepidoptera; Noctuidae
Description: uncharacterized LOC124637564
Source: RNAcentral
GAAUCCAAGUCAGCGCCUACUGGACGUGAACUGGGAACAACUUACCCCCAAACUAAUAAUUUUCUUCUCGAAAAAGUUUGUUUGUUGAUCGUGAAAAUGAAGUUACAGUACGUGUGCUUAAUUUUUGGUAUAAUUGUGUGUUCAAUUAUAAUGUGCGAGGCGUUACCGUUUAGAGCGGGAAAUAUUGAUUAUAUGGAGGCUAUUCGUCGUAUGCAGCAGAUUCCACAAUGGCACUGCAUGAGGUACAGGAAAUUUCAGUUGCACGGUCACUGCAACCGCUGGCUCCUCAUGAGACGCACCUGAUACUCUGUGUCUUCGCCCAGGCAAUGGAGAUCAUGAAAACGGUCCUAAGCGUAAAAAGUUAACCAUUUAAAUUUCGAAUUGUAUCUUGUAAUCGGAAUUAAUCAAGGAGAUUUUAUUACGAUUUAAAUAAUAUUUAUUUAUUGAAUUUAGAAUUAUAUUUUUAUCGUUAGUAUGUCUUAUAUAAUAAAUUUAAGAUAGGUACGAGUAUAUUUUGUAGAUUUGGAAAAUUGUUUAUGUAAAAAAAAAACUCUCUCGGUUUGUUUGUUCUUGGAUUUACUGACUGACUCUAGGGACCUUCUUAGUUUCUUAGCAUUCUUGCGUAUUUUAAUAAAAUAUUACGGAAAUAAGUUAUUUAAACUAGAUCUAGGAAUUUUACAAUGUAAACGAAUUCGAAGUGUAUUUUGAAACGGAAUUCGUAAAAAGAAACUAUUUUUAAAUUUAAAUUGUUCGUUUCAUAAUAAUUCAAUUUUAUUUAAUGAGAUAAAAUUAGGUGCUUGUUAUCUCACCAAAGAUUUAAUGAAACUAUUUUUAAAUUUAAAUUGUUCGUUUCAUAAUUCAAUUUUAUUUAAUGAGAUAAAAUUAGGUGCUUGUUAUCUCACCAAAGAUUUAAUGUGAGAGUAAUUUAAAUUAUUUGUAAGUAUCUAUAAAUAUAUCAUCUGAUCUAAAAGUAAGCAAAUGCAUAGGUAUAUUCGUUUUGUUAUCAAAUGAGCCAUAAAUUGUUGUCUGUUCAAUCUUUUUUUGAAUUGAAUCUCUAUUCUUCAUUUACGAUGUCUAUCCUUUAAGAAAUUUUAGUUGUAGAUCUAAUCAUGACUUGUACAUGUUAUUAAAUAGCUGUCUUUUGUUACAGCUGAGUUAAUUUCAUCACACCGUAGUCAAAAAUAGUUCUAAAAUAUUCGCACCAUUCUAUUCUGUCUAUGUUGCGUCAGAGUUCAAAGUCUAGCUUUACGAUCACCGAUGACCGUUGCACCAUCGAUCCACCUGACCCAUGUAAUCUUAAACUUACUUACGUAAAAAAUGUUUUUAUUUAUUUUAGGGUUUUUUUUUCAGUAAGUUAUUUAGUCAUGUAGUGUAGUGUCAAUCCGAUUUUAUCCUAAAAAUAUCCUACUUUCACUAGAUAUGGACAAUUGUUAACCUUUCGCACCGUUACAAUUAAUUGGGAAAAAUUACACGCAACAAGCUUACCUAAGUACUUCACUAAUAUUCAAAUACUCUUUACCAUUUUUUUCUUCCGGACUUAUAUUGAUCAUAUUCCAUCACCACUUUUUGUUGGAUCCUCAAUAAUUAUAGAUUUCUCACAAAAAGUGAUAAAAAUAAAUAAAUAGACAUGUAAUCACGACUAAUCGCAUUUGCCACGCUUACGAACUAUUUUUCUGUUUUUGCAAUUGCCAAUUUCGUGGGAAAGUAAGGCAAUUUCAGAAUCAUCAUACAUUACUCAUUCUCAUCUCGUCAAACUCUCGUCAUGUUACGUCAGAGAUCAAAGUCUAGCUCACGAUUAGCAAUGACCGUUGCACCACCGUCACACGCAACCGUUGCGAUCCCAACCUUACUUGUUUAAGUACUUAUAAUCGAACUUAUCAGUAUUAAUAAUUUUACAGUUAUAUCACCAAAUUUUGCAAUUUAUAAUGUUAUUUAAUAAUUGUAAUCUUAGCAGAAUAAAAACAUUCAUAGAAGAGUAGAUCAUGAUUCUGUUAUUACAAUAAAGUUAUUGGUAGUAA